UACGAAGGGUGCAAGCGUUACUCGGAAUUACUGGGCGUAAAGCGUGCGUAGGUGGUUUGUUAAGUCUGUUGUGAAAUCUCUGGGCUCAACUCAGAGUCUGCUGUGGAAACUGCCGUGCUAGAGUGUGGGAGAGGUGAGUGGAAUUCCACGUGUAGCAGUGAAAUGCGUAGAGAUGUGGAGGAAUACCGAUGGCGAAGGCAGCCUCCUGGGCCAACACUGACGCUCAUGCACGAAAGCGUGGGGAGCAAACAGG
RNAcentral lists this ribosomal RNA (253 nucleotides) under uncultured bacterium. Its description in RNAcentral is "partial 16S ribosomal RNA". It matches the Rfam family "Bacterial small subunit ribosomal RNA", at positions 524 to 776 of the family's 1533-position model. The record is from RNAcentral.